GGCUGGGAGCUGUAGACCGGAGCUGUUCCUAUUCGGCCAUCUUGGCUCCUCUCCCUCUUUAAAGUGAUGGUCUCUGAUAUCUUUCGCCUUUACCUUCAUUGUCAGCCAUUGAUUUGACAGAGAUUUCUUUAGUGUCUAGAGCUGAAAACAAGCAAACAAAAAACAAGCACAGAAGAAGAAGGAGAGAAUGUGAUUUUGAAGAAAGGAGGAAAGAUGUGAAAAGUGAUUGGUCAGCCACAUUCAUGGUGUUGAGAAAAGAAUUUGCUUUUCUGGAACAUAGCCUGUGAUAGCAGAACAACACCUGGCAAGAAACAGGUUAUGUUUGGCUGGAGAGUCAUUGGCACUAUCAAGAAAUAUUAAAGUGUAGAUUUGAGAGAGGAGGAGAAAGACCCAAGCAAAAUUGAAAACCAGGUGGGACCCAGACAGCAGCAAAGCAAUGGAAGCAUGUAUUUUGGUCAAUAUAGAGUUAAUACACAAUUUUGCCCCUCUUCUUCUGAUCAUGGGACUCAUAUUACCAGUCUUCACAUUUCCUUUAAAUUCAGGAAUCAGGAAGAAUUUCCAGAGUUUGCAGAUGGACACAUUUGCUGCUUCCAUUCUAAACAUAAGUUAGAAGAACCUUUCAACUGGAUUCCAACUUUAAUAUGUCACAAACAUAAAAAAGAAAGCUAUUUCCUGGACUUUUCUUCAUUAGAAAUUAAUAGAUUGUCAAUUGGCAUAGGGAAAAGAUAAUCAACAGAUGCCAACCCCAAGUUAACAGAAAUGCUAAAAUUAUAAGACAAAGACUUCAAAAUAGCUAUUUUAAUUUUGCCUAGUGAGGUAAAUGCAAACAUGCUCACUAUGAAUGAAAACAGGUAAUCUCAGCAGUCAUGUAAACUAUAAAAAUAAGCAAAUAUAAAUUUUAGAAUUAAAACACAAUAUCUAAAAAUAAAUUCACCUGAUAUUCUCAAUAGAAAAAAUGGUAAUGCAGAGAAAAAUGUAUGAAAAUAUGGCAAUUUGAAGAAGAGAGAAGAGAUCAAUAAAAUAAAUAAGUAUAUCCUUGGAGACCUGUGGAUGUUUUUUGAAAAGUGAAUCAUGUAAGUAAUUGAAGUCCCAGAAGAAAAGAAAAGAAGAGGAUGAGCAGAAAAAAAUUUCUGAAAAAAUAUCUGAAAGCUUAAACACUAUAAUGAAAGACACACAUUUACAAACUCAAGAAGUUUAGUAAACCAAAAACAAUAAAAUCAAAGAGAACUGUGCCAAGCGACAUCAUUUUCAACCUGCUGAAGAUCUUGACAGCAGUCAGAGAAAAAAGACACACUUAUUACACAGAGAGGAACAAUACAUUAAAUACUAGCACACUUCUCAUCAGAGAUCAUUAAGCCCAGAAGACAGUGGAAUGAGAUCUUUAAAGUGCUGAAAUAAAAUAAAUGUUGAUUAAAAAAUUCUA
Molecule: long non-coding RNA, 1423 nt
Organism: Homo sapiens (human)
Lineage: Eukaryota; Metazoa; Chordata; Mammalia; Primates; Hominidae
Gene: CASC9
Product: cancer susceptibility 9
Source: Ensembl